UGGUGGGGUUGUAUGGUGGUGUGUAGAUGGGGUGGUAUGGUGGUGUGGAGAUGGGGUAAGGUGGGGUUGUAUGGUGGUGUGUAGAUGGGGUAAGGUGGGGUGGUAUGAUGGUGUGUAGGUGGGGUAAGGUGGGGUUGUAUGGUGGUGUGUAGAUGGGGUAAGGUGGGGUUGUAUGGUGGUGUGUAGAUGGGGUAAGGUGGGGUGGUAUGAUGGUGUGUAGGUGGGGUGUAGGUGGGGUUGUAUGGUGGUGUGUAGAUGGGGUAAGGUGGGGUUGUAUGGUGGUGUGUAGAUGGGCUAAGAUGGGGUGGUAUGGUGGUGUGUAGAUGGGGUGGUAUGGUGGGGUUGUAUGGUGGUGUGUAGAUGGGGUGGUAUGGUGGUGUGUAGAUGGGCUAAGGUGGGGAUGUAUGGUGGUGUGUAGAUGGGGUGGUAUGGUGGUGUGGAGAUGGGGUAAGGUGGGGUUGUAUGGUGGGGUUGUAUGGUGGUGUGUAGAUGUGGUAUGGUGGGGUGUAGGUGGGGUUGUAUGGUGGUGUGUAGAUUGGGUAAGGUGGGGUUGUAUGGUGGUGUGUAGAUGGGGUAAGGUGGGGUGGUAUGGUGGGGUUGUAUGAUGGUGUGUAGACGGGGUUGUAUGGUGGGGUUGUAUGGUGGUGUGUAGAUGGGGUAAGGUGGGGUUGUAUGGUGGUGUGUAGAUGGGGUAAGGGGGGGUGGUAUGAUGGUGUGUAGGUGGGGUGUAGGUGGGGUUGUAUGGUGGUGUGUAGAUGGGGUAAGGUGGGGUUGUAUGGUGGUGUGUAGAUGGGCUAAGGUGGGGUGGUAUGGUGGUGUGUAGAUGGGGUUGUAUGGUGGUGUGUAGAUGGGGUAAUGGUGGUGUGUAGGUGGGGUAAGGUGGGGUUGUAUGGUGGUGUGUAU
Oncorhynchus tshawytscha (Chinook salmon) is the source of this 903-nucleotide long non-coding RNA. The record is from Ensembl. Lineage: Eukaryota; Metazoa; Chordata; Actinopteri; Salmoniformes; Salmonidae.